AGUGAACGCUGGCGGUAGGCCUAACACAUGCAAGUCGAACGGCAGCACAGUAAGAGCUUGCUCUUACGGUUGGCGAGUGGCGGGCGGGUGAGGAAUACAUCGGAAUCUACUUUUUCGUGGGUGAUAACGUAGGAAAACUUACGCUAAUACCGCAUACGACCUACGGGUGAAAGCAGGGGAUCUUCGGACCUUGCGCGAUUGAAUUAGCCGAUGUCGGAUUAGCUAGUUGGCGGGGUAAAGGCCCACCAAGGCGACGAUCCGUAGCUGGUCUGAGAGGAUGAUCAGCCACACUGGAACUGAGACACGGUCCAGACUCCUACGGGAGGCAGCAGUGGGGAAUAUUGACAAUGGGCGCAAGCCUGAUCCAGCCAUACCGCGUGGGUGAAGAAGGCCUUCGGGUUGUAAAGCCCUUUUGUUGGGAAAGAAAAGCAGCAGGUUAAUACCCCGCUGUUCUGACGGUACCCAAAGAAUAAGCACCGGGUAACUUCGUG
Molecule: ribosomal RNA, 491 nt
Filed under: uncultured bacterium
Lineage: Bacteria
Description: partial 16S ribosomal RNA
Rfam family: Bacterial small subunit ribosomal RNA
Source: RNAcentral